This 235-nucleotide ribosomal RNA is filed under the name uncultured bacterium. RNAcentral's name for it is "partial 16S ribosomal RNA". It matches the Rfam family "Bacterial small subunit ribosomal RNA", at positions 571 to 793 of the family's 1533-position model. The record is from RNAcentral.
CGAGGUUGGUUUAGUUAAGUCAGAUGUAGAAACGGCCCGGGGCUACCAACCGUACGGUAAUUGCUAUUUAGAAACGUGGCAGACUAGAGUACUGUAGAGGGGGUAGAAUUUCAGGUGUAGCGGUGAAAUGCGUAGAGAUCUGAAGGAAUACCGGUGGCGAAGGCGGCCCCCUGGACAGAUACUGACACUCAGAUGCGAAAGCGUGGGGAGCAAACAGGAUUAGAUACCCUGGUAG